RNAcentral lists this unclassified non-coding RNA (344 nucleotides) under soil metagenome. RNAcentral describes it as "partial contains 5.8S ribosomal RNA, internal transcribed spacer 2, and large subunit ribosomal RNA". The stretch from base 4 to 119 matches the Rfam family "5.8S ribosomal RNA", at positions 39 to 154 of the family's 154-position model. The record is from RNAcentral.
GAUAAGAACGUAGCGAAAUGCGAUAAGUAAUGUGAAUUGCAGAAUUCCGUGAAUCAUCGAAUCUUUGAACGCACAUUGCGCCCUCUGGUAUUCCGGGGGGCAUGCCUGUCCGAGCGUCAUUUGCAACCCUCAAGCCCGGCUUGUGUGAUGGGUGCCGUCCCCUACGGGACGCGCCCCGAAGGCAAUGGCGGCGUCGCGGUUAUCCGAUCAGCCAAAGUGUAUGGGGCUUUGUCACUCACUUUACGGCCCGGACCGGCGCCAGUCCGAAUCAAUCUUUUUUCUAAAGUUGACCUCGGAUCAGGUAGGGAUACCCGCUGAACUUAAGCAUAUCAAUAAGCGGAGGA